This 1149-nucleotide long non-coding RNA is filed under the name Equus asinus (donkey). Its description in RNAcentral is "lncRNA (ENSEASG00005024830.1)". The record is from RNAcentral. Lineage: Eukaryota; Metazoa; Chordata; Mammalia; Perissodactyla; Equidae.
AAAAUACAACAUACAUAGAUCCAGCUAUUUAGUCAUAAAGACCUCCUUGAUGUCUCAAGUCCAAAUUGUUCAAGUUUGAAAGUGGAAGAAGAGUGGCCUGGUGGGCCAGAGUAGGAAAAAUCCACAUUUCAGCCAGAUCUUGAACUCAUAAUGUAGCAACAGCACAACCUUCCAUCUACAACCUUCUCUCAAUGUUUCCUCACCUUUUUGCUGUAACUGCAAUCUGGCUGUUCGCUGAGGAUCCUGCUUCUCCAGCGCUGGCUGUUUCAUUCCCCGUGAGUUUAGAAGUGGGUAGGUGGCCUCCUUGCACCUCCUUUUGCUUCCUGACCAGUUUUCUAGCUCAACACUACUCCGUGAUCUACCAAUAUAAUCAUUCUGGCCUAAUACUUAGCAAACUCAUCAUGGUUAUAGACAACACUGCUUAAUCUCUGUGUAGACAGAGAAAAGCAUACAAUGUGCCGAUAGUCUCUUUAAAUUUACUACCAAAAGCUUUAACUGGUCUGUUAAAAAUCCUACUGUAUUUUCCUGCUCCAGUGUUUUGCACCAGAAUCUGCAUCAAAAUAACCUGAAGGAUAUGUUAAAACAGAUUUCUGAGUUUCAUUCCAAGGAUUUCUGAUGCAGCGGGUCUAGAGUGGGGCCGCAUAUUUUGCAUUUAUAAGAAGUUUCCAGGUGAUUCUGACGCCGUAGGUCUGGGGACUUCACUGGAAGUUCCCAGGCCCUAGCGAAUUCAUUACCUUAUUCUUCGAGAUAAUAAUUUCAUAACUUUUGUACUUUUCUCAAUCUUUCAACACUCCCUUUUCUUUUCUCAGUCUCAGCUGAUGUUUUGCUUAUUCCAAUCAGAAAACAAAAGGGAUCGGAAGUGACUUCCACCUGCAUCCACCAUUAAAUCAACCAACUAACUUGCAUCUAUACCCGCACACUCUGUGCUCCAUCUUGUUAUAAUGAAUAAAAUGUCCAUGCUCCUAAAUCAAGCUGUCUACUUGGGCACUUGAUCCUAACCCCUGUAAUAUAUCUAUUCAACAACUUACUCUUGUGAUUAUUUUCUCUUUCUUCUUCAUCAUUUUUUCCUCCUCAUUGGAUUAUUCCCAUCAAAAUAAAUACAUGAUGUAAUAUUCUCAGCUUAAGAAAAAAACAAACGAAAAUGCUUUU